This 59-nucleotide small nucleolar RNA is filed under the name Leersia perrieri. RNAcentral describes it as "Small nucleolar RNA R24". It matches the Rfam family "Small nucleolar RNA R24", at positions 28 to 87 of the family's 92-position model. Rfam says of the family: snoR24 is a C/D box small nucleolar RNA which acts as a methylation guide for 18S ribosomal RNA in plants. The record is from Rfam by way of RNAcentral. Lineage: Eukaryota; Viridiplantae; Streptophyta; Magnoliopsida; Poales; Poaceae.
GAAGGCCAACUGAUCAACUGGUUCUUCGAUGAAAUACAUUUGUUACGCCUGGCUUCUGA